RNAcentral lists this transfer RNA (65 nucleotides) under Dipodomys ordii (Ord's kangaroo rat). It matches the Rfam family "tRNA". Rfam says of the family: Transfer RNA (tRNA) molecules are approximately 80 nucleotides in length. Their secondary structure includes four short double-helical elements and three loops (D, anti-codon, and T loops). The record is from Rfam by way of RNAcentral. Lineage: Eukaryota; Metazoa; Chordata; Mammalia; Rodentia; Heteromyidae.
GGUGGCUCAGUGGUAGAGUGCUUGUCUUACAGGUAUGAGGCCCUGGGUUCGAUUCCUCAGCACCA